AGUUGCUUCAUUCAAAGGCGAAGUCACUCUGCACCACAUGAGCAGGAACUAUUCAGCUUAGGAGUGACCCAGGAAGACGACAUACAGUGAAUUUCGGAGCUGAGGAACAGUUAUCUAAAAGACUCAGGAUGGCUGAUUGCGUCUGCAUCAUGUGGUCCAUAUUCUGGCUGCUUGUGUUGAUUUUCCUUGCCUGGCCCAUCAGUAUUUUCCUAGGCGGCCUUUACGGGUUUGUUGCUCCACUUACAACCUGUGUGGGACUAGACCAAGUGACCGAACUGCUCCUCCAGGGUGUGAACCUUGGAAGAACCUGUGCCCAGAAUGUGCGAGUGGGAAAAUCCCUCUGCUGAAGGAGCCGACCACCACAGAGCAGCAGCGCAUCUCUUCCACCGGAAAGUCUUUUCACCGAACAGACAUUUAAGCACAAGUUGACUCCGCGAUGACAAGUUCUAAAUUUCCAAGCUGUUUUCAAAUUUUUGGCUGCUAGGGCUGCUCGAUGAAUUCAGAACGAAGCCAAGACAACAGCUACGAUAUUAUUCCCGGCUAGUUUUCCCAAGAGUGACACACCUUGCGUUUUCAACCUCUAUUAAGUUUUUUCUACGGUUAAAAUAAAAUGCUAAAAAGAGCUCAAGGCAGUUUGUCAACCUUAUUUUUAAUGUGUGGGUAUAAUCCUUUGUAAACAGGAAGUUGUAGUAUCAAGCAGCCAAUACUGAUAUAUCAGCUUGACUAAAUUGCAAAGAGCUAUUUACAGAUACUAUGUAUGUUUUUGUAUUCAAAAAUGUGCUUGCAGCCUCAUAAGAGAUGAUACAAUAGCUAUUUUAUCAACACCGGUUAAUCCAAGAUAACUUUCAUUUCUAUUAUGAUUGUAUAGUAUAAAAUAGAUUUUGAGUCUGUAUUAACAGGUUAAAGUUUUUUUUUGUAUUAUGUAUGAUUUAUAAUACUAUCCUUAUACAUUAUCAGUGUUAUACUAUGCCACCAUUGGGUACAAAACGGACUCUUGCUAUCCCAAAAACAUCACAAAAAAUAGAUUUUUAGACUGCAUUUAAAGUUAUACUUUUUCCGUUAAGGUUAUUUUUGAGCUUUAAAAGUUAUUUAAAAGCUUUAGCAUUUUCUCCACUGCCGGUAACAUUUGUGCUGUGAUUUUAUGAUGCACUGUACACAAUUUCUGUAUUUUAUAAGAAAUUAUAUGACACUAAAAUGCAACCAGGCUUGGUUUAAAAAAUUGCACAAUAGCAGUUUUCACAAGCACUACAUUGAGGUGGGUCAUGGGUUCAUUCAGUUCUUCACUGGGCCAGAAAAGGUUGGCGGGUGUGUCUGUUCCUCUAUUCUGUAUCCAGUACCAUCUGUUAAUUUUAAGUGUUGCAAAUUUAAUUUAUUGCACACAGCAUUGCAUGUGAUCUGCCUAGAUGUCAUUUCUGACUAAUUAUCAUAUUAAACAUGUGCUUAACAUCUGGGAAUAUGC
Molecule: long non-coding RNA, 1459 nt
Organism: Lepisosteus oculatus (spotted gar)
Lineage: Eukaryota; Metazoa; Chordata; Actinopteri; Semionotiformes; Lepisosteidae
Source: RefSeq, a predicted model, not a curated record